RNAcentral lists this unclassified non-coding RNA (299 nucleotides) under Hevea brasiliensis (rubber tree). The record is from RNAcentral. Lineage: Eukaryota; Viridiplantae; Streptophyta; Magnoliopsida; Malpighiales; Euphorbiaceae.
CAGCUGGUUAGUCCUCGUCGGAGCUCUCUGGACCCGGUGUUAUGUUCAGGUCAGGGUUCUUCACCACCCUCGCCGGCGGCGAGGUCACCGUCCGUCCAGCAUGGAGAGCAUCCACCCUCGCUCCCACCUCCGUCGCCUUCUUCCUUAUCGACGCCGCUGACAGCGCAUCGCCGCCGGGCUCCACCCCCACCUCUAUCUCGUCAGGGAAGUUAAGCCUCGCCGAGCGGCCACGGAGGUAGUAAACGGCGGUGUCGUAGGCGCGGGCAGCGGCGACAGCGGUGGAGUAGGAGCCGAGCCAG